This 446-nucleotide ribosomal RNA is filed under the name uncultured bacterium. Its description in RNAcentral is "partial 16S ribosomal RNA". It matches the Rfam family "Bacterial small subunit ribosomal RNA", at positions 338 to 795 of the family's 1533-position model. The record is from RNAcentral.
CCUACGGGAGGCAGCAGUCGAGAAUCAUUCACAAUGGGGGAAACCCUGAUGGUGCGACGCCGCGUGGGGGAAUGAAGGUCUUCGGAUUGUAAACCCCUGUCAUGUGGGAGCAAAUUAAAAUGAUAGUACCACAAGAGGAAGAGACGGCUAACUCUGUGCCAGCAGCCGCGGUAAUACAGAGGUCUCAAGCGUUGUUCGGAAUCACGGGGCGUAAAGCGUGCGGAGGCUGUUUCGUAAGUCGUGUGUGAAAGGCGCGGGCUCAACCCGCGGACGGCACAUGAUACUGCGAGACUAGAGUAAGGGAGGGGGAACCGGAAUUCUCGGUGUAGCAGUGAAAUGCGUAGAUAUCGAGAGGAACACUCGUGGCGAAGGCGGGUUCCUGGACAUUAACUGACGCUGAGGCACGAAGGCCAGGGGAGCGAAAGGGAUUAGAUACCCUAGUAGUC